RNAcentral lists this small nuclear RNA (165 nucleotides) under Dasypus novemcinctus (nine-banded armadillo). RNAcentral describes it as "U1 spliceosomal RNA (ENSDNOG00000028496.1)". It matches the Rfam family "U1 spliceosomal RNA". Rfam says of the family: U1 is a small nuclear RNA (snRNA) component of the spliceosome (involved in pre-mRNA splicing). Its 5' end forms complementary base pairs with the 5' splice junction, thus defining the 5' donor site of an intron. The record is from RNAcentral. Lineage: Eukaryota; Metazoa; Chordata; Mammalia; Cingulata; Dasypodidae.
AUAGUUACCCAGCAGGGGAGAUACCAUGAUCACUAAGGUGGCUUUCCCAGGAUGAGACCGAUCCACUAUACUCAGAAUCUGCUGAUCCUUGUGGGUUUCCCCACACACGAGAUACUUGACAGCAUAACUUGUGUUGAUGGGGGGUUGUGUGCACACUUGCCCUGA